Molecule: ribosomal RNA, 1135 nt
Filed under: Pseudo-nitzschia fraudulenta
Lineage: Eukaryota; Bacillariophyta; Bacillariophyceae; Bacillariales; Bacillariaceae
Description: partial Bacterial large subunit ribosomal RNA
Rfam family: Bacterial large subunit ribosomal RNA
Source: RNAcentral
GUGAUCUAGAUAUGGGCAGGCUGAAGGUGCAGUAACAUGCACUGGAGGGCCGAACCGUUGAGCGUUGAAAAGCUCUCGGAUGACCUGUGUGUAGGGGUGAAAGGCCAAUCAAACUCGGAAAUAGCUCGUACUCCCCGAAAUGUAUUUAGGUACAGCCUUGAGUUAAAGUGAUAUAGAGGUAGAGCUACUGAUAGGACUAGGGGGCUUCACCGCCUACCAAAUCCUGACAAACUCCGAAUGCUAUAUCAUGUUCCUCAGGAGUGAGGGCAUGGGUGCUAAGGUCCUUGUCCGAGAGGGAAAGAACCCAGAUCUACAGCUAAGGUCCCAAAGUAUAUGUUAAGUUGAACUAAGGCGGUCCAGUUGCCGAGACAGCAAGGAGGUUGGCUUGGAAGCAGCCAUUCCUUUAAAGAGUGCGUAAUAGCUCACUAGUCGAGUGCUUCUGCGCCGAAAAUGAACGGGACUAAGUGUUACACCGAAGACGCGGAAAGUAUACUUGUAUACUUUGGUAGGAGAGCGUUCUUAACUCGUUGAAGGUAUACCGAAAGGAGUGCUAGAGGGUUAAGAAGUGAGGAUGCCGGCAUGAGUAGCGAUAAAAGGGGUGAGAUACCCCUUCACCGUAAGCCUAAGGGUUCCCUGGGAAGGUUAAUCCGCCAGGGGUUAGUCGGUCCCUAAUGUGAUGAAGAAGUUCGUAGCAGAUGGGAAACAGGUUCAUAUUCCUGUACCGACAUGUGGAGGUUUUACUGAUGGAGUGACGUAGGAAGAUAAGUCUUGCAAGGCGAUGGUUGUCCUUGUUUAAACGUGCGAGCUGGGGAGAUAGGAAAAUCCGCUCCCUAUCGGCAGAGGCGUGGGCCAGCAUUUGUUUCGGCAAAUGAUGGAGACUGAUUCUAUACUACCGAGAAAAACUUCUAAAGGACAAAGCAUGUCGACCGUACCCAAACCGACACAGGUAGGCGAGGAGAGUAUCCUAAGGUGCUCGAGAUAACUCUUGUUAAGGAACUCGGCAAAAUGGCUCCGUAACUUCGGGAGAAGGAGCGCCCCCUAUGGUGACUGGCUUACGCCAAUGGUAGCCUAGGGGGGCCGCAGUGAAAAGGGGGUAGCGACUGUUUACCAAAAACACAGGUCUCUGCUAAGUCGU